RNAcentral lists this ribosomal RNA (253 nucleotides) under uncultured bacterium. RNAcentral's name for it is "partial 16S ribosomal RNA". It matches the Rfam family "Bacterial small subunit ribosomal RNA", at positions 524 to 776 of the family's 1533-position model. The record is from RNAcentral.
UACGUAUGGUGCAAGCGUUGUUCGGAAUUAUUGGGCGUAAAGGGUAUGUAGGCGGAUUUAUAAGUCAGGUGUGAAAACUGCGGGCUCAACCCGUAGCUUGCACUUGAUACUGUGAGUCUAGAGUUUGGGAGAGGGAAGCGGAAUUCCUGGUGUAGCGGUGAAAUGCGUAGAUAUCAGGAGGAACACCGGUGGCGAAAGCGGCUUCCUGGCCUAAAACUGACGCUGAGAUACGAAAGUGUGGGGAGCGAACGGG